This 115-nucleotide microRNA precursor is filed under the name Tursiops truncatus (common bottlenose dolphin). Lineage: Eukaryota; Metazoa; Chordata; Mammalia; Artiodactyla; Delphinidae. The record is from RNAcentral.
CAACUUCAGCUGAGUGUAGUGCCCUACUCUAGAUGGUGUCAUUCACAUCCACUAAAGCAUGAUUAUCACCUUUUUGAGUAGAGUAAUGCACAUCAUAUGCGUCCUAUGUGGUGGC